UACGGGGGGGGCAAGCGCUGUUCGGAAUUACUGGGCGUAAAGGGCUCGUAGGCGGCCAACUAAGUCAGACGUGAAAUCCCUCGGCUUAACCGGGGAACUGCGUCUGAUACUGGAUGGCUAGAGGUUGGGAGAGGGAUGCGGAAUUCCAGGUGUAGCGGUGAAAUGCGUAGAUAUCUGGAGGAACACCGGUGGCGAAGGCGGCAUCCUGGACCAAUUCUGACGCUGAGGAGCGAAAGCCAGGGGAGCAAACGGG
This 253-nucleotide ribosomal RNA is filed under the name uncultured bacterium. RNAcentral describes it as "partial 16S ribosomal RNA". It matches the Rfam family "Bacterial small subunit ribosomal RNA", at positions 524 to 776 of the family's 1533-position model. The record is from RNAcentral.